AUUUGGGCGGUUAUGCCUUUGUACUCCGUACUUUAAAUAUUUGAAUGGAAGAGGAUGAUCCUCAUUUUUAUUUCCUGACUUUAUGUUUGCUCUAAAUGCUUAAUAUAACUACAACCGUGAUGAAAAUUCCCUGAAAAUAAAAUAUGCAUAACAUUCGCAUCCUCAUCAUGCAUCACGCUUCAUGAAAACUCAAAAAAAAAAAAACUUACCCAACCUUUUUACCCUUUAUCCAGC
RNAcentral lists this long non-coding RNA (234 nucleotides) under Lathyrus oleraceus (garden pea). RNAcentral's name for it is "Pisum sativum (pea) long non-coding RNA (PSAT_LNC040420)". Lineage: Eukaryota; Viridiplantae; Streptophyta; Magnoliopsida; Fabales; Fabaceae. The record is from RNAcentral.